GCCCCUGUCUUUGGGGAGUAGCCGGCUUCUACCCAGAAGCGCCUGCAUCAACAUUCUCGGUCGCGCAGACCGUGGUGCAGGUAGCCGUUUCGGUUGGCAAGACCAUCGACACACCACGCGACCGGUCGGGCGCGGCGGUGUGUCGUGGUUUUCAGCCCGACCUCGAGCGCCU
This 172-nucleotide small RNA is filed under the name Paraburkholderia phenazinium. RNAcentral's name for it is "Manganese sequence". It matches the Rfam family "Manganese Mn2+ riboswitch aptamer (yybP-ykoY)". Rfam says of the family: This RNA was originally discovered in E. coli during a large scale screen and was named SraF. The family was later found to exist upstream of related families of protein genes in many bacteria, including the the yybP and ykoK genes in B. subtilis. The specific functions of these proteins are unknown, but this structured RNA element may be involved in their genetic regulation as a riboswitch. Lineage: Bacteria; Pseudomonadati; Pseudomonadota; Betaproteobacteria; Burkholderiales; Burkholderiaceae. The record is from Rfam by way of RNAcentral.